AUGAAGACGCCCGUGAAAGGAUCACGUCCUCCUCGUUCCUUCCACUCCCUCGCCUCCUCCUUCCUCCCCAUCCGGCGGCGCCUCCUCCCUCUUUCCCACGGCCUUCUGCAUCGCGCCGCCACCGGCUGGCUCCUCCUUCUCUCUUCUGGAUCGGGCGCAGCCGCCAUAGGAGAGCAUGGGCUCGAACUGAGUGAGGAAGAGGUGGUUUGCGGCCACGCGGGUGAGGAGGGCGGCCUUCCGCUGAACGCCACCGUCCUCUCCUCGCGCGCCCUCGCGGCCAGAAGAGGCAGAUAUGUACGGAGGAUCCAUGAGCUUGGUGCCAUCCGUCCCGUCCGUCGACGCCCACCCCCUCUUCCCCAACGCGUAGGUGCUCUAUUCACUUGCGUCUUCGCUGCCUCAAGUGUGCGGAUGCAACCACCAGCUGUUCGUAUAAAUGUUCAAGGAGGACUGCUCUGGGGAGGACAUCACGUGUGUUUGAAAGAGAGGGAUGGAAAAGAGGGGGCUGGAGUGAGAGGAGAAGAGGAAGGAAUUGAACCACAUGUUAUUUCUUUGUCAUCGACGUCAUCCCACCAUUGUAGAGAUUUUCUUGGAUGA
Molecule: ribosomal RNA, 594 nt
Filed under: Triticum aestivum (bread wheat)
Lineage: Eukaryota; Viridiplantae; Streptophyta; Magnoliopsida; Poales; Poaceae
Description: partial small subunit ribosomal RNA
Source: RNAcentral